GCAGCGGUGGUUCAGUGGUAGAAUUCUUGCCUUCCAUGAAGGAGACCUGGGUUUGAUUCCCAGUCAAUGUA
RNAcentral lists this transfer RNA (71 nucleotides) under Loxodonta africana (African savanna elephant). It matches the Rfam family "tRNA". From Rfam's summary of the family: Transfer RNA (tRNA) molecules are approximately 80 nucleotides in length. Their secondary structure includes four short double-helical elements and three loops (D, anti-codon, and T loops). The record is from Rfam by way of RNAcentral. Lineage: Eukaryota; Metazoa; Chordata; Mammalia; Proboscidea; Elephantidae.